RNAcentral lists this ribosomal RNA (253 nucleotides) under uncultured bacterium. RNAcentral describes it as "partial 16S ribosomal RNA". It matches the Rfam family "Bacterial small subunit ribosomal RNA", at positions 524 to 776 of the family's 1533-position model. The record is from RNAcentral.
UACGAAGGGGGCUAGCGUUGCUCGGAAUCACUGGGCGUAAAGCGCACGUAGGCGGCUUUUUAAGUCAGGGGUGAAAUCCUGGAGCUCAACUCCAGAACUGCCUUUGAUACUGAAAAGCUUGAGUCCGGGAGAGGUGAGUGGAACUGCGAGUGUAGAGGUGAAAUUCGUAGAUAUUCGCAAGAACACCAGUGGCGAAGGCGGCUCACUGGACCACAACUGACGCUGAGGCGCGAAAGCUAGGGGAGCAAACAGG